GCCUGGAUGGCUCAGUUGGUUAAAAUGUGGCACUCAUAAUGCCAAGGUUGCAGGUUUGAUCCCCAUUGCAGAGGGUU
Molecule: non-coding RNA, 77 nt
Organism: Podarcis lilfordi (Lilford's wall lizard)
Lineage: Eukaryota; Metazoa; Chordata; Lepidosauria; Squamata; Lacertidae
Source: the annotation of a GenBank genome assembly